RNAcentral lists this transfer RNA (76 nucleotides) under Mollicutes bacterium. RNAcentral describes it as "tRNA-Phe". It matches the Rfam family "tRNA". From Rfam's summary of the family: Transfer RNA (tRNA) molecules are approximately 80 nucleotides in length. Their secondary structure includes four short double-helical elements and three loops (D, anti-codon, and T loops). Further hydrogen bonds mediate the characteristic L-shaped molecular structure. tRNAs have two regions of fundamental functional importance: the anti-codon, which is responsible for specific mRNA codon recognition, and the 3' end, to which the tRNAs corresponding amino acid is attached (by aminoacyl-tRNA synthetases). tRNAs cope with the degeneracy of the genetic code in two manners: having more than one tRNA (with a specific anti-codon) for a particular amino acid; and 'wobble' base-pairing, i.e. permitting non-standard base-pairing at the 3rd anti-codon position. The record is from RNAcentral. RNAcentral also lists the same sequence under 2 other names. Lineage: Bacteria; Bacillati; Mycoplasmatota; Mollicutes.
GGCCCGAUAGCUCAGUUGGUAGAGCAAGGGACUGAAAAUCCCUGUGUCGGCGGUUCGAUUCCGCCUUGGGCCACCA